GCGGGGAGCUUCCCGGAAACGAAAGUCUUCCGGUUCCGGGGGAAGUGUGGUUGCAAAGCUGAAACUUAAAGGAAUUGACGGAAGGGCACCACCAGGAGUGGAGCCUGCGGCUUAAUUUGACUCAACAUGGGAAAACUCACCCGGCCCGGACACCGUAAGGAUUGACAGAUUGAGAGCUCUUUCUUGAUUCGGUGGUUGGUGGUGCAUGGCCGUUCUUAGUUGGUGGAGCGAUUUGUCUGGUUUAUUCCGAUAACGAACGAGACUCUGGCCUACUAAAUAGUGACAGGAUUAUUACUGUCUUGGAUACUUCUUAGAGGGACAAGUGGUUUUCAGCCACACGAAAUUGAGCAAUAACAGGUCUGUGAUGCCCUUAGAUGUCCGGGGCUGCACGCGCGCUACACUGAAGGAAUCAGCGUGCUAAAACCAUUGUCGAAAGGCAUUGGUAAACCCAUUAAAAUCCUACGUGAUUGGGAUCGGGAAUUGCAAUUAUUUCCCUUGAACGAGGAAUUCCCAGUAAGUGUGGGUCAUAAGCUCGCGUUGAUUACGUCCCUGCCCUUUGUACACACCGCCCGUCGCUGCCCGGGACUGAGCCGUUUCGAGAAAAGCGGGGACUGCUGCUGUCGGGGCUUUCGGGCCUUGGCUUCGGUGGAAACCGCUUUAAU
RNAcentral lists this ribosomal RNA (662 nucleotides) under uncultured eukaryote. RNAcentral describes it as "SSU rRNA". It matches the Rfam family "Eukaryotic small subunit ribosomal RNA", at positions 1079 to 1763 of the family's 1831-position model. The record is from RNAcentral.